UUGACCUCGGAUCAGGUAGGGAUACCCGCUGAACUUAAGCAUAUCAAUAAGCGGAGGAAAAGAAACCAACAGGGAUUGCCCCAGUAACGGCGAGUGAAGCGGCAAGAGCUCAAAUUUGAAAGCUGGCUCCUUCGGGGUCCGCAUUGUAAUUUGCAGAGGAUGUUUCGGGAGUGGCCCCCAUCUAAGUGUCCUGGAACGGACCGUCAUAGAGGGUGAGAAUCCCGUAUGGGAUGGGGUGCCCACGCCCGUGUGAAACUCCUUCGACGAGUCGAGUUGUUUGGGAAUGCAGCUCUAAAUGGGUGGUAAAUUUCAUCUAAAGCUAAAUAUUGGCCGGAGACCGAUAGCGCACAAGUAGAGUGAUCGAAAGAUGAAAAGCACUUUGAAAAGAGAGUUAAAAAGCACGUGAAAUUGUUGAAAGGGAAGCGUUUGCGAUCAGACUCGCCGACGGGGUUCAGCCUGCCUUCGGGCAGGUGUACUUCCCCGCCGGCGGGCCAGCGUCGGUUUGGGUGGCCGGUCAAAGGCCCUAGGAAUGUAACGCCUCUCGGGGCGUCUUAUAGCCUAGGGUGUCAUGCGGCCUACCCGGACCGAGGAACGCGCUUCGGCUCGGACGCUGGCAUAAUGGUCGUAAACGACC
Molecule: ribosomal RNA, 634 nt
Filed under: Penicillium sclerotiorum
Lineage: Eukaryota; Fungi; Ascomycota; Eurotiomycetes; Eurotiales; Aspergillaceae
Description: eukaryotic LSU rRNA
Rfam family: Eukaryotic large subunit ribosomal RNA
Source: RNAcentral